GGUGGCGAGUGGCGAACGGGUGAGUAAUGCAUCGGAACGUGCCCAACUGUGGGGGAUAGCUCGGCGAAAGCCGGAUUAAUACCGCAUACGAUCCACGGAUGAAAGCGGGGGACCUUCGGGCCUCGCGCAGUUGGAGCGGCCGAUGUUAGAUUAGGUAGUUGGUGGGGUAAAGGCUCACCAAGCCGACGAUCUAUAGCUGGUCUGAGAGGACGACCAGCCACACUGGGACUGAGACACGGCCCAGACUCCUACGGGAGGCAGCAGUGGGGAAUUUUGGACAAUGGGCGCAAGCCUGAUCCAGCAAUACCGCGUGCAGGAAGAAGGCCUUCGGGUUGUAAACUGCUUUUGUACGGAACGAAAAGGUCUGGGUUAAUACCCUGGGCUCAUGACGGUACCGUAAGAAUAAGCACCGGCUAACUACGUGCCAGCAGCCGCGGUAAUACGUAGGGUGCAAGCGUUAAUCGGAAUUACUGGGCGUAAAGCGUGCGCAGGCGGUUAUGUAAGACAGGCGUGAAAUCCCCGGGCUCAACCUGGGAAUUGCGCUUGUGACUGCAUAACUAGAGUACGGUAGAGGGGGAUGGAAUUCCGCGUGUAGCAGUGAAAUGCGUAGAUAUGCGGAGGAACACCAAUGGCGAAGGCAGUCCCCUGGACCUGUACUGACGCUCAUGCACGAAAGCGUGGGGAGCAAACAGGAUUAGAUACCCUGGUAGUCCACGCCCUAAACGAUGUCAACUGGUUGUUGGGUAUUUACUUACUCAGUAACGAAGCUAACGCG
This 775-nucleotide ribosomal RNA is filed under the name uncultured bacterium. Its description in RNAcentral is "bacterial SSU rRNA". It matches the Rfam family "Bacterial small subunit ribosomal RNA", at positions 87 to 859 of the family's 1533-position model. The record is from RNAcentral.